Molecule: ribosomal RNA, 295 nt
Filed under: Segatella copri
Lineage: Bacteria; Pseudomonadati; Bacteroidota; Bacteroidia; Bacteroidales; Prevotellaceae
Description: partial 16S ribosomal RNA
Rfam family: Bacterial small subunit ribosomal RNA
Source: RNAcentral
ACAAUGGAGAGUUUGAUCCUGGCUCAGGAUGAACGCUAGCUACAGGCUUAACACAUGCAAGUCGAGGGGAAACGAUAUUGGAAGCUUGCUUCCGAUAGGCGUCGACCGGCGCACGGGUGAGUAACGCGUAUCCAACCUGCCCAUCACUUGGGGAUAACCUUGCGAAAGUAAGACUAAUACCCAAUGAUAUCUCUAGAAGGCAUCUGAAAGAGAUUAAAGAUUUAUCGGUGAUGGAUGGGGAUGCGUCUGAUUAGCUUGUUGGCGGGGUAACGGCCCACCAAGGCGACGAUCAGUA